GUUAAACGCUUAAUUCAAUCGAAGCGGGGGACCCAAAUUUUGGGGCGAAUUUCCAGAUGGAAUAGGAUAACUCUUUCAAUCCGAGCCCGACAGCUAACCCCGUCAGCGUAGGAAGAGG
RNAcentral lists this small RNA (118 nucleotides) under marine eukaryotic metagenome. RNAcentral describes it as "ydaO/yuaA leader". It matches the Rfam family "c-di-AMP riboswitch aptamer (ydaO/yuaA leader)". From Rfam's summary of the family: This family represents a conserved RNA structure found upstream of the ydaO and yuaA genes in Bacillus subtilis and related genes in other bacteria. The ydaO/yuaA element is thought to act as a genetic "off" switch for the ydaO and yuaA genes in its native state. The record is from RNAcentral.